CUUCUUGUUUCUCUUCAGAUCGUAUAAUCUUUUCGCCUUACUUAAGAUUUCCGUUGGAGAGGAACAAUAAGCGGUGCAACGAUUUUUGAUGCCCUGCUUAAGUGCGGGGC
Molecule: small nuclear RNA, 110 nt
Filed under: Larimichthys crocea (large yellow croaker)
Lineage: Eukaryota; Metazoa; Chordata; Actinopteri; Sciaenidae
Description: U5 spliceosomal RNA (ENSLCRG00005017589.1)
Rfam family: U5 spliceosomal RNA
About the family: U5 RNA is a component of both types of known spliceosome. The precise function of this molecule is unknown, though it is known that the 5' loop is required for splice site selection and p220 binding, and that both the 3' stem-loop and the Sm site are important for Sm protein binding and cap methylation.
Source: RNAcentral